GUAAAAAUACACAUCUUAUUAAUUACAAUGCCCCUGAUUAGAGUUUCACCUUCUCUUUUGUCCUAAUCUGUCCCUUCCCAGGUCUGACGUUCACCCUGGAUCCCUCUGCUGGUGCUCCAUCUCUCCACCUCCUCCCUCACUGUGACCUUCCACGGACCAAGCCCUCCGUCACUACCCUCUCGUCACCAUAGCAACAGGGUCACGGGUUCAGUAUCCCAGGAGUCUGCCCCCCAGCUCCUCCCUCAGGUGUGUGGGGACGUGGUCAGGGGCCAGUUCUACUGGGAGGUGGAUGUCUGCAACAGCACUCUGUACAGGAUAGGAGUGAGCUCAUUGGACGAUGCUGGUGGCUUGAAAGGCAGGGCUUGUCCUUCUCCACUGUGUACGAUAGCCGUCGGGAGCCCUUACAUGCCGUGCCACCCCAGAUCAAGA
Molecule: long non-coding RNA, 429 nt
Filed under: Salmo trutta (river trout)
Lineage: Eukaryota; Metazoa; Chordata; Actinopteri; Salmoniformes; Salmonidae
Description: lncRNA (ENSSTUG00000045311.1)
Source: RNAcentral